RNAcentral lists this ribosomal RNA (253 nucleotides) under uncultured bacterium. Its description in RNAcentral is "partial 16S ribosomal RNA". It matches the Rfam family "Bacterial small subunit ribosomal RNA", at positions 524 to 776 of the family's 1533-position model. The record is from RNAcentral.
UACGUAGGGGGCAAGCGUUGUUCGGAAUUACUGGGCGUAAAGGGCUCGUAGGCGGUUUGUCGCGUCGGGAGUGAAAACCAGGUGCUUAACACCUGGCUUGCUUUCGAUACGGGCAGACUAGAGGUAUGCAGGGGAGAACGGAAUUCCUGGUGUAGCGGUGAAAUGCGCAGAUAUCAGGAGGAACACCGGUGGCGAAGGCGGUUCUCUGGGCAUGACCUGACGCUGAGGAGCGAAAGUGUGGGGAGCGAACAGG